CAACCCUCAAGCUUCGCUUGGUGUUGGGGACCGGCCGAGUGAAAACGAAGCCGCCCCCGAAAUUUAGUGGCGGCCCUCCGAGGCGACCUCUGCGUAGUAACUCAACCUCGCACUGGAAAAAUCGGAGCGGCCACGCCGUAAAACCCCCGACUUUAUCAAGG
Molecule: unclassified non-coding RNA, 161 nt
Filed under: uncultured Simplicillium
Lineage: Eukaryota; Fungi; Ascomycota; Sordariomycetes; Hypocreales; Cordycipitaceae
Description: sequence contains ITS2
Source: RNAcentral